UCCUGGUUCCCUGUAUUUCCAAGAGGUGU
RNAcentral lists this non-coding RNA (29 nucleotides) under Homo sapiens (human). Lineage: Eukaryota; Metazoa; Chordata; Mammalia; Primates; Hominidae. The record is from RNAcentral.